Molecule: ribosomal RNA, 695 nt
Filed under: uncultured bacterium
Lineage: Bacteria
Description: bacterial SSU rRNA
Rfam family: Bacterial small subunit ribosomal RNA
Source: RNAcentral
AGAGUUUGAUCCUGGCUCAGGACGAACGCUGGCGGCGUGCCUAAUACAUGCAAGUCGAGCGAGCGGAACCAACAGAUUUACUUCGGUAAUGACGUUGGGAAAGCGAGCGGCGGAUGGGUGAGUAACACGUGGGGAACCUGCCCCUAAGUCUGGGAUACCAUUUGGAAACAGGUGCUAAUACCGGAUAAUAAAGCAGAUCGCAUGAUCAGCUUUUGAAAGGCGGCGUAAGCUGUCGCUAAGGGAUGGCCCCGCGGUGCAUUAGCUAGUUGGUAAGGUAACGGCUUACCAAGGCGACGAUGCAUAGCCGAGUUGAGAGACUGAUCGGCCACAUUGGGACUGAGACACGGCCCAAACUCCUACGGGAGGCAGCAGUAGGGAAUCUUCCACAAUGGACGCAAGUCUGAUGGAGCAACGCCGCGUGAGUGAAGAAGGUUUUCGGAUCGUAAAGCUCUGUUGUUGGUGAAGAAGGAUAGAGGUAGUAACUGGCCUUUAUUUGACGGUAAUCAACCAGAAAGUCACGGCUAACUACGUGCCAGCAGCCGCGGUAAUACGUAGGUGGCAAGCGUUGUCCGGAUUUAUUGGGCGUAAAGCGAGCGCAGGCGGAAAAAAUAAGUCUAAUGUGAAAGCCCUCGGCUUAACCGAGGAACUGCAUCGGGAAACUGUUUUUCUUGAGUGCAAAAGAGGAGAGUGGAACU